CAUUUGUGUUCUACUGAAGAAACAAAGUCACCUACAUCUUGGAUGCCCUGGGGUGUACUUGUGAUCAACCACUCAAUAAUGAGAAUCAAGUCAUUUGGAUCAAAAGGCUUAUUUCCUCUUUCACAUGUUACUUUGAAUCAAUAGGAUUUAUCCAAAGCCAAAUGAUCUGAAAUCCACUCAGGUCAGUCGCCUUCCAGCACGCUGUCAGUUCCAGAUUUCUCAGUGGAAGAAGGAGAGAAUGGAAUAAAACUGAAGAUACAGGUGACCUUCAUUCUCCAG
Long non-coding RNA from Megalobrama amblycephala (Wuchang bream), 279 nucleotides. RefSeq lists it as uncharacterized. The transcript has 3 exons. The record is from RefSeq and is a predicted model, not a curated record. NCBI's taxonomy places the organism in Eukaryota, Metazoa, Chordata, Actinopteri, Cypriniformes, Xenocyprididae.